AAGGCUGUUAGGGUUUAUCGUUUGGAUUUCUGACUUUUGGGGGUGUGACUUUUCCCCUGUAUUUCUUUGGGCUCUGAUUUCAGAUGGCUGGUGACCAGAUGACAAGAAUCUAAUGUUUUGCUUGUGGAUAUUCUUGAACCUUGUGCCUGCUCCUGGCUCCUUUACCAGUGGGAAGUUUGGGAGGCAGAAAAGGGAAGAGAAAUGCAGACCAGUUUGCACUGGGGCAUCUGUGGUCAUCUUGUGAACCCAGGAAGAGUGAAGAAUCUUGCCAGGCAGGAGCAGCACGUGUAUGAGAGCAACACACUCUGCCUUCCAAGCCCAUCCAAGGUUUGGAUGCCACGUGCAUUCUGGAGAAAACAGAGCUUUCUGAAUGAUUUAUGUUGGAAUUUGAUGGAACCAAGUGAUCCUAGGCCAUGCCAGGAUCAAGAUGGCCCACCAAGAGAAGGUAUCAGCUGGGUCCUGCCUACAGUUAUGUCAAACAAAGUGUGCUGCGAAGUGCCAACUCUCCCUUUGUGCUGUGACACCGAGAGCUGCCAAAAGAUAUUAAAAAGCUUGCAUGAACUAGGUGAUGGCAGCUGUAACUAUCUAAGUUAUUGCCUGGCAGCUGCAGCGCUGCCUCACUGCUGCUGGCCGCCUUUAGAGUUGGUUCUCCAUUUGUUUGCCCUUUCUCUAGCAACCGAGAGCACCAAGCCUGCAGUGGGCAAGUGGCCGCCCCAGCCCCCUCGCGCCUGCGGUCGGGAGGCUUGUGGCGUCCACUGCCACCACCACCACCACCGCCGCCACCACCACCGAGGACACACACACACCCUGGCGCAUGCAGCUCCUGGGAGAAGUUGUGUUUCUCUUGGCCUGGCCCCAAGCCCUCGUUUGCACCGGUCAGCUCCACUUUAAGGAGCCUUGGACCAGUGGAUGCUCAGAGCGAGCAUGCACACCCAGGCGCACACACCAAAUGCAGCUUUUUGUGUUUGUGUGUGUGGCUUUUUUUUUCCCCUUCCCUGUUGGCUCCGAGUGAGCUAGAACAAUAUCGCCAGCUCCAAGCCCUGCCAGUCCUACAUCUGCUCCCUAAAACCUCCAGCAAAUAAGAAUACGGUGGGGUUGUUUAACCAACACUUACAAUAUACACACUUUUCAGCUCCUCUCCCCCUGGGUGGCCCAGGCUCAGAGAUCUGGAUGCUGGUGGCAAAGGGUUGAGAGAUAAGGGGCUAAUGAUCCCUGUGGGCAUCUGUCUCUGAAGCCUCCUUCUCUGGCACGUUGAUCUGUGGCAUAAAAUACAUUUCAUUGUCAUGGGCUUCGGGGAAGGUGUCUGUACC
Molecule: long non-coding RNA, 1310 nt
Filed under: Vulpes vulpes (red fox)
Lineage: Eukaryota; Metazoa; Chordata; Mammalia; Carnivora; Canidae
Description: lncRNA (ENSVVUG00000008006.1)
Source: RNAcentral